CGGCCUUGACAUACUAAGAACUUUCCAGAGAUGGAUUGGUGCCUUCGGGAACUUAGAUACAGGUGCUGCAUGGCUGUCGUCAGCUCGUGUCGUGAGAUGUUGGGUUAAGUCCCGCAACGAGCGCAACCCUUUUCCUAUUUGCCAGCGGGUCAUGCCGGGAACUUUAAGGAUACUGCCAGUGACAAACUGGAGGAAGGCGGGGACGACGUCAAGUCAUCAUGGCCCUUACGGCCAGGGCUACACACGUGCUACAAUGGUCGGUACAAAGGGUUGCUACCUCGCGAGAGGAUGCUAAUCUCAAAAAGCCGAUCGUAGUCCGGAUCGCAGUCUGCAACUCGACUGCGUGAAGUCGGAAUCGCUAGUAAUCGCGGAUCAGAAUGCCGCGGUGAAUACGUUCCCGGGCCUUGUACACACCGCCCGUCACACCAUGGGAGUUUGUUGCACCAGAAGUAGGUAGUCUAACCGCAAGGAGGACGCUUACCACGGUGUGGCCGAUGACUGGGGUGAAGUCGUAACAAGGUAAGCGUAGAUGA
RNAcentral lists this ribosomal RNA (533 nucleotides) under uncultured bacterium. Its description in RNAcentral is "bacterial SSU rRNA". It matches the Rfam family "Bacterial small subunit ribosomal RNA", at positions 976 to 1509 of the family's 1533-position model. The record is from RNAcentral.